AACAUACCCUCCGUCCAGAAAUACUUAUCAUCAAAAUGGAUAAAAGAAGAUGUAUCUAGAUGUAGUUUAGUUUUAGAUACAUCCCUUUUAUCCAUUUUGAUGACAAGUAUUUUUGGACGGAGGGAGUACUAU
Molecule: non-coding RNA, 132 nt
Organism: Triticum aestivum (bread wheat)
Lineage: Eukaryota; Viridiplantae; Streptophyta; Magnoliopsida; Poales; Poaceae
Source: Rfam